Poeciliopsis prolifica (blackstripe livebearer) is the source of this 890-nucleotide long non-coding RNA. RefSeq lists it as uncharacterized. The record is from RefSeq and is a predicted model, not a curated record. Lineage: Eukaryota; Metazoa; Chordata; Actinopteri; Cyprinodontiformes; Poeciliidae. The transcript is spliced from 4 exons.
CGAGUUCCUGUUCAUAUUUGACAGAUGAAGAACUUCCACGUACGACUUCUGGACAACUCAGAGCUUUUUUCUAACAUCUUCCUGUUCAGAGAUAUCACUGGGUGUUGGAAAAGAAAAGGCUGAAUUACUGGAUUAUUCCUGUAGCUGUGCAGCUGGUAAAGGUUUUUGCAAUCAUGUAGUUGCACUUCUUCACCAGACUGCACACUACUCCCAACUCCAGCUGCCAACUGUUCCUCCUGCACAAGUGAUUUACAAAGAUGGCACAAACCAAGAACACAGGGGAAACAUCCUGAACCUGCCAGCAACAUGGUGGUGCGGAAAAGAUAUCUGCACUCCACACUUUACAGAGCUUACACAGAAGCCAGAACAAGAGAGCAGUCCAGAUGUCCUGCAUGGGUACAUCUUCAACAACCAAGACUUACUGCUAGCCGUUUCCGUGAUGCUGGCAGAGGAAGUGCAGAGGAGUCUGCUGUAAAAAGCAGCAUGAAGAAUGAUGCAUCUCAGGUUGCUCACCUCAAGGUCCAGGAUGAGCACUCAGUUUUGAGGCGUUCACAUGCCUACAGCUGGCAAUCAGCGGAUUGGAUGGUGCGACUUUGUUACAGACACGCUAACAACAAUAACUGUUGGGCGGGUGUGGCGUGAUGAGGCUUUCAUUGAUCAAAUGAAAUCUAAACUGGACUUAUUUUACUUCAACACCUUCAUUGAUGUGUUCAUGUCAAUGCAAUAAGAAUUAUAAAAUGUGUAACUAACCCUUUUGUUCCUUUGCAUUUCAAAUAUCCAAUCUCAAGCUGUGUGAAUCACUGUACAUGGUUGUUACUCAUGCAACAUACAGAGAUGUGCAAAUGUCUCUAAAAGUCAGUUGGAUAAUUUAUUAAAAUUUGUUUUCUUAA